UCCUCCACCGCCUUAUGAAUAUAAAUCACCACCACCUCCGGUUAAGUCUCCUCCACCACCGUAUUACUAUCAUUCACCGCCGCCGCCAGUGAAAUCCCCUCCCCCUCCUUAUGUUUACAGCUCUCCUCCUCCUCCGGUGAAGUCCCCUCCUCCCCCAUACUACUACCAUUCACCGCCUCCUCCGGUGAAGUCUCCUCCUCCUCCAUACUACUACCAUUCACCACCUCCUCCGGUGAAAUCCCCACCACCACCAUAUUACUACCAUUCACCACCUCCUCCGGUGAAAUCCCCACCACCACCAUACUACUACCAUUCACCUCCUCCUCCUGUGAAAUCUCCUCCUCCUCCAUAUUAUUACCACUCCCCACCUCCUCCGGUGAAAUCCCCACCACCACCAUACCUUUACAGCUCUCCACCAC
Molecule: long non-coding RNA, 419 nt
Filed under: Arabidopsis thaliana (thale cress)
Lineage: Eukaryota; Viridiplantae; Streptophyta; Magnoliopsida; Brassicales; Brassicaceae
Description: long non-coding RNA (ATHA_LNC000044)
Source: RNAcentral